CCUACGGGAUGCAGCAGUGGGGAAUAUUGGGCAAUGGGCGCAAGCCUGACGCAGCAACGCCGCGUGAAGGAAGAAGGCUUUCGGGUUGUAAACUUCUUUUCUCAGGGACGAAGCAAGUGACGGUACCUGAGGAAUAAGUCACGGCUAACUACGGGCCAGCAGCCGCGGUAAUACGUAGGUGGCAAGCGUUAUCCGGAUUUACUGGGUGUAAAGGGAGCGUAGGCGGUUUAGCAAGGCAGAUGUGAAAGCCCGGGGCUCAACCCCGGAACUGCUUUUGAGACUGUUGGACUUGAGUGCAGGAGAGGGGGGUAGAAUUCCUGGUGUAGCGGUGAAAUGCGUAGAGAUUAGGAGGAACACCGGUGGCGAAGGCGGCUUACUGGACUGUAAAUGACGCUGAGGCGCGAAAGCGUGGGGAGCAAACAGGAUUAGAUACCCCAGUAGUC
This 443-nucleotide ribosomal RNA is filed under the name uncultured bacterium. RNAcentral's name for it is "partial 16S ribosomal RNA". It matches the Rfam family "Bacterial small subunit ribosomal RNA", at positions 338 to 795 of the family's 1533-position model. The record is from RNAcentral.